UCCCAUAUCAAGCAGAACUGCAUAUACAUGUCAAACUGGAAGUGUGUGAGUACAUGAACAAAUUAAUGACUAGAGUUAUCACCUCUCAGCAAGCAUUUGAGUAUUUCAGUACAUGAGAAUACAGCACAGGAAGUAUACAUGGACCACUUAUAGUACAUGGGCGGCAGGACCGAGUAUAAAGGACUGAAAACUAUCACUGUCCAACAAGCAUCUUGAUAGUACAUGACAGAAAAGAUCUACGAGUAUCAUUUUGCGCCCUGUUUUAGUGCUUCCUGUUAAUCGAGCUUCAUCUGCUGGCAUUCCCGCUUGUACAUGGGAGUUUUUAACCUCCAUGGACUCGUAUACACUUCAUCAAUCAGUUUAAUCUACCUAGCUAAGAACACCAAAUAAGUAGGUGUCAGUUAGAAAAAUAUAUGAAGUAACAUAUCCUGAGAAGAGAGACAGUCAUUAUGUCCAACUUCAUCCACCACUCUGAUCAAGGUUAGAAUGUCAAAACUUAAGAUGAAAUUCCGAAUACACAUGUAACCAAUCACGAUAACCCUUGCGGUCGAUGCUGGCAUUCCAGCUUCUACAUGUUAAUUUUCAAAUCAAAUAAAAAUGGCAUGUGAUAGCAGGAUAAGUCUAACAGAGAGAGCACAAAUAUUUGUUGCAGCAUAUUUUGUUAUUCCAUUACAGAUUAUUUUAUGUCGUUAUGCCUACUGACUUGUGAAACCAACAACAUCGAAACUCAUUUUUCGCAAGAUGCCAUAUAAUACGCAUAAAUUCUAACUCAAAAAUAAUUCUAAAUACUGACAAACAUUCAUGUUCAUACCAUUGAAUGGACCUUAGCUGCUUGCAUAAAAACCAGCUCAUAAAAGUUCCAUAGUGAUGAAGGUUAGAGGUUAUGACCCAAGGUUACAACCAGCUCAUACAUUUAUUUACAUAAUUAUCCUAUUAGAAAUCCAUCCUUUAUAAAAACUUGGCAUUUUCAUAUAGCCUAUCGUAUGUACAAAUAAAAAAAACAUACUGUAUGAUAAAAUGAUGUGUCCAACCAUCGAAGCCAUUGGACAUUUUAAUCACUCAAAACUGGUUAUGAGUUCGGCAAGAAAAAUAUUAGCAGAGCCACUCCCUAAUAUAACCAGUGAAUGCAUAUUGUGAUAAUGAAAUGGAACAACCACAUAUACUAAUAUUUUUAGUAAAAUGUCCUAAAUUUCAAAUCGUAGAUUAUCUGCCGGUCAUCAACCUACCAACUUGGUCCCCGGAGUACUUAAUAGUGAAACAGAAGGACCAAAAUAGACUUUGAAACCACCACAAACAAUGGCAAUACAUAAUGAAAUGAAGUUACCAAUAUGCAUCAUUCACACAUGAGCAGGUUUGACAUGAACAAGUACAAAAAAAUAGAAUCGUAGAGAUGUAAUCAACUAGCUAAUAAAAUUAAGAUCGAGCACAAAUCUACUAGCUAAAUCAAGUUAGCAUCUAUUUACCAGACAAAUUAACAAUCAUGGUGAUGCCUUGUAGAUCUGCAGCACGUCACACAGGUUGGUUCGGAAGGAGCCGAGGAUCCCACCACCUAUGGCAACAGUCUGUGCAUGUGUCAGAAUAUAUACUAGGACACUUCCAAUUGUUGACUCUUAGGGUGUGUUUGGUUUGAGGAUCAAAAGUCAUGGAAUGUCAUGGUUCCAUCCCAAAGUCAUGGGUUGGUUCCAUCCUUGUGUUCAGUUGAUGAUAAAAUUGUUGACCCCCAAUUGGGAAACAUAAUUGUUGACCCCCAAUUGGGAAACAUAAUUCAUAUAUACUAGGACACUUCUUAAACUGGAGCAAUUUCAGCGAUGAAUCAUAUAUACAUGAAUCAGGACUUUGAUGUGCUGAUAAAUGGACAAAUUUCAUUUUAUUUUUUGCCUAGCAGAAUCAAGUUACUUUCUUUCGAACUUUUCAAGCUACUGACUUUGUAUACGGAACUGCAAGUAUUAAUCUUUUUAGCGAAUUAUACGCUAAACUGCAAGACGCUGAAAUUAUCUGACCGCAUUCAAUCUUCCAACUUGAUUCUCCACAUUACUUAUGAGUGAAACAAAACUUCCAAUUAGAAUAACAAAACGCUAGUACACAGUAGCAACACACCAUCAAAUCGAAAUUAGUAUGCAAAUCAUUCACUGGGAAAUUUUGACAUGAACAAAUAAUAGAACUAGAGAGAUGCAACAUAAAUCUACUUGAUAUUAAAAAUGGGAUGCAGCACAAAUUCACUAGCAAACGGACCACCUCGUCGCACGGGCCGGUCGGGAAGGAGCUGAGGAGACCAUCGCCGGCUAGCCGCCGACGAGGGGGAGGAGGACACUAGCUGUUACUGGAGAGAGGAGGCGACGAACCCACCGUUGUCGGAGCUUUAGAAGGGAAUCUACGACGGAAGCUGCGGGGCAGAGUUUAGUUGGUGGUCAGUUCCGAUCUGGUCCGCCUCCAACUGGGCUACCAGCCACAAAAGCUGCAAGCAGCCAUCGGGAGAAGGAGCAUCACCUCUACCAGGAGUGCUCACCCAACUUGGAGUAUGGAUCACCGCCCUCGGAGAAGAUUUGGUUCGUGCUGCCUCCACGGGAUCUGGGUUUCAACGAGGAGGCAUCGGGACGAAAUUAGCUACCAGGGAGGAACUUUUUUGCAAAUUUCACGCACAUAUCGCCUCACCCGAAUCUGAG
Molecule: long non-coding RNA, 2663 nt
Filed under: Hordeum vulgare
Lineage: Eukaryota; Viridiplantae; Streptophyta; Magnoliopsida; Poales; Poaceae
Description: long non-coding RNA (HVUL_LNC005232)
Source: RNAcentral